GCUUACGACCACACCGGCCUGAGUACGCCUGAUCUCGUUUGAUCUCGGAAGCUAAGCAGGGUCAGGCCUGGUUAGUAUUUGGAUGGGAGACCGCCUGGGAAUACCAGGUGCUGUAAGUU
RNAcentral lists this ribosomal RNA (119 nucleotides) under Oncorhynchus kisutch (coho salmon). Lineage: Eukaryota; Metazoa; Chordata; Actinopteri; Salmoniformes; Salmonidae. The record is from RNAcentral.